Molecule: ribosomal RNA, 282 nt
Filed under: uncultured prokaryote
Description: partial 16S ribosomal RNA
Rfam family: Bacterial small subunit ribosomal RNA
Source: RNAcentral
UACGUAGGGGGCAAGCGUUAUCCGGAUUUACUGGGUGUAAAGGGAGCGUAGACGGUAUGGUAAGUCAGAUGUGAAAGCCCGGGGCUCAACCCCGGGACUGCAUUUGAAACUAUCAAACUGGAGUGCAGGAGAGGUAAGUGGAAUUCCUAGUGUAGCGGCGAAAUGCGUAGAUAUUAGGAGGAACACCAGUGGCGAAGGCGGCUUACUGGACUGUAACUGACGUUGAGGCUCGAAAGCGUUGGGAGCAAACAGGAUUAGAUACCCCUGUAGUCCCUGAGCGGG